UGAAAACUUGGGUCAAGCAACAUUUCAAC
This 29-nucleotide non-coding RNA is filed under the name Rattus norvegicus (Norway rat). Lineage: Eukaryota; Metazoa; Chordata; Mammalia; Rodentia; Muridae. The record is from RNAcentral.